RNAcentral lists this transfer RNA (73 nucleotides) under Halpernia frigidisoli. It matches the Rfam family "tRNA". Rfam says of the family: Transfer RNA (tRNA) molecules are approximately 80 nucleotides in length. Their secondary structure includes four short double-helical elements and three loops (D, anti-codon, and T loops). Further hydrogen bonds mediate the characteristic L-shaped molecular structure. tRNAs have two regions of fundamental functional importance: the anti-codon, which is responsible for specific mRNA codon recognition, and the 3' end, to which the tRNAs corresponding amino acid is attached (by aminoacyl-tRNA synthetases). tRNAs cope with the degeneracy of the genetic code in two manners: having more than one tRNA (with a specific anti-codon) for a particular amino acid; and 'wobble' base-pairing, i.e. permitting non-standard base-pairing at the 3rd anti-codon position. Lineage: Bacteria; Pseudomonadati; Bacteroidota; Flavobacteriia; Flavobacteriales; Weeksellaceae. The record is from Rfam by way of RNAcentral.
GGUUCCUUAGCUCAGUUGGUAGAGCAAUGGACUGAAAAUCCAUGUGUCCGCGGUUCGAACCCGCGAGGAACCA